Non-coding RNA from Podarcis muralis (Common wall lizard), 368 nucleotides. The record is from RefSeq and is a predicted model, not a curated record. NCBI's taxonomy places the organism in Eukaryota, Metazoa, Chordata, Lepidosauria, Squamata, Lacertidae.
UCCUCUCGCGCAUGCGCGUUUGAAGAGGGGAGCCGGUGCUAAGUUUGAAUGUACAGUACUGUACGUGCACUGGUAGAUGUCAUGUACAGUAUGUUGAAUUGUGGUUGUUGUUUUAAUGAUUCCCCCUGCGCCUCGUUUAUGUCAUAGUGGGUCUUUCCCCCCCCCUGUAGGCAGAACUGCACGCAAACAGUGCAGAAAUGUGAGAAAGUGCGUCAGUGGUCAGCAAAAAGCAAAUCUGUUAGAAAAGAACCACAACUUAUAGCGCAACCGUAAGGAAAAUACUACUGCAGCAUUUGGGACUUAGAGAAAAGAGAUCAAGCUCACUUUGUCAGAUGCAUGAAGUGUUGGUGCUGACCUUUAAAGCCCUA